RNAcentral lists this long non-coding RNA (1246 nucleotides) under Monodelphis domestica (gray short-tailed opossum). RNAcentral's name for it is "lncRNA (ENSMODG00000048071.1)". Lineage: Eukaryota; Metazoa; Chordata; Mammalia; Didelphimorphia; Didelphidae. The record is from RNAcentral.
CUCUAAUGUACUUUAUAGGUAUUAUAGCUAUUUGUUUCUAAGUCUUAUUCUUCUCAAGGUUGCAGACUUCCUCUGGUCUAGAGCUGUCUUAUCAAUACAGGUCAUCACCUUUCAUUUAACAGAGUGCUCUAUACACCUUCAACAAGAAGUAUCCAGAGAAAGAAUGGGUGGUUUUGCUUAUCUAAUUGCCCUGUUUUGUAUUUUAAAAACAUGAAUGUUUUAUUUUACAUGUAAUAACAAUUUUCACCCAAGUUUUCUGAAGUUAUAAGAUCUGCAUUGUCUUCCUCCCUCCCUUUUCUUCCCCUUCCUGGAGAUGGUAAGCAAUUUGAUCUUGGCUAUACAUGUAUUACCAUGCAAAACAUAUUUCCACAUUGUUCAUUGUUGUAAUAAAAUACUCAUAAAACCCUCCCCCCAAAACCAAAUAAACUAAAGUGAAAAAUCAUACACUUUGAUCUGUAAGACCUUCUGUCUUAAGAUCACUUCUAUGUAAGGAUUAGGCAAUUGGGGUUAAGUGAUUUGCCCAGGGUCCACAAGUGUCUGGGGUCAUAUUUGAACCUAGUUCCUCCAGACUCCAGGACUGACUCUGUAUCCAUUAAGCUAUCUCAUUGCCCCUAGGUAUUUUUAAUGCAGAAAAGUGGGUUUCAAUUGAUGAACAGCUGAACAAAUUGUGAUAUGUAAAUAUAAUGGAAUAUUAGUGUGCCACAGAAGAGGGUGAUUUUAGAGAAAUCUGGGAAGAUUUAUGUGAACAGAUGCAGAAUGAAGUGAACAGAACCAAAAGAAUAAUUUAUACAAUUAAUGACUGUAAAAAUGAACAAUGUGCAAUGACUUACGAAUUCUAAUUAAUACAGUUACUAAUCAUUAUUCCAGAGGAGCAAUGAUGAAGGCAAUUCUACAGAGAGAAGUGAUAGACUUCAUAUGUAGAGAAUGAGACAUAUGCUUUAUGGCCAACAUUGGCAUUUCUUUUGUUUCACUGUACAUAUUUGUUACAAGGUUCUCUCUGUCUCUCUCCUCUUCUCUCCCUUCCUCUUUCUCUCUCUGUGUCUCUGUCUCUUUGCCUUUCUUUCUGUCUCUCUCUCUCCCACCCCUUUUCUCCCUUCCUCUCUCUAUCUGUCUCUCUUUCCCUCUUAUCUCUCUUCCCCUUACUCUCUUUCUUCCCCCUUUCCUAUUUUUCAGAAAAAAUAAAUGCUCUUCUACUGAAAAAAAAAAGAAAAAAAAAAAAAAGUUUAAUGGGGAUAUGCAAUUCAGA